AUACGGAGGAUGCGAGCGUUAUCCGGAUUUAUUGGGUUUAAAGGGAGCGUAGGUGGGAUAUUAAGUCAGCUGUGAAAGUUUGGGGCUCAACCUUAAAAUUGCAGUUGAUACUGGUUUCCUUGAGUACGGUACAGGUGGGCGGAAUUCGUGGUGUAGCGGUGGAAUGCUUAGAUAUCACGAAGAACUCCGAUCGCGAAGGCAGCUCACCGGGCCGGAACUGACACUGAUGCUCGAAAGUGCGGGUAUCAAACAGGAUUAGAUACCCUGGUAGUCCGCACAGUAAACGAUGAAUACUCGCUGUUUGCGAUACACUGUAAGCGGCCAAGCGAAAGCGUUAAGUAUUCCACCUGGGGAGUACGCCGGCAACGGUGAAACUCAAAGGAAUUGGCGGGG
Molecule: ribosomal RNA, 393 nt
Filed under: uncultured bacterium
Lineage: Bacteria
Description: partial 16S ribosomal RNA
Rfam family: Bacterial small subunit ribosomal RNA
Source: RNAcentral